GGUUUGCUAACUCAACGGUAGAGUACUCGGCUUUUAA
Molecule: transfer RNA, 37 nt
Filed under: Silene arenosa
Lineage: Eukaryota; Viridiplantae; Streptophyta; Magnoliopsida; Caryophyllales; Caryophyllaceae
Description: partial tRNA-Lys
Source: RNAcentral